Molecule: ribosomal RNA, 449 nt
Filed under: uncultured organism
Description: partial 16S ribosomal RNA
Rfam family: Bacterial small subunit ribosomal RNA
Source: RNAcentral
ACUCCUGCGGGAGGCAGCAGUGGGGAAUAUUGGACAAUGGGCGCAAGCCUGAUCCAGCCAUGCCGCGUGAGUGAUGAAGGCCCUAGGGUUGUAAAGCUCUUUCACCGGUGAAGAUAAUGACGGUAACCGGAGAAGAAGCCCCGGCUAACUUCGUGCCAGCAGCCGCGGUAAUACGAAGGGGGCUAGCGUUGUUCGGAUUUACUGGGCGUAAAGCGCACGUAGGCGGACUAUUAAGUCAGGGGUGAAAUCCCGGGGCUCAACCCCGGAACUGCCUUUGAUACUGGUAGUCUUGAGUUCGAGAGAGGUGAGUGGAAUUCCGAGUGUAGAGGUGAAAUUCGUAGAUAUUCGGAGGAACACCAGUGGCGAAGGCGGCUCACUGGCUCGAUACUGACGCUGAGGUGCGAAAGCGUGGGGAGCAAACAGGAUUAGAUACCCUUGUAGUCCCAUGA